CAGGCUCCGGUUCACGCCGUGGCGACACGCGACGGCGACCCGGCGGCC
The sequence is a regulatory RNA element, 48 nucleotides long. It matches the Rfam family "L31-Actinobacteria ribosomal protein leader". The record is from Rfam.